Molecule: long non-coding RNA, 10156 nt
Filed under: Ananas comosus (pineapple)
Lineage: Eukaryota; Viridiplantae; Streptophyta; Magnoliopsida; Poales; Bromeliaceae
Description: long non-coding RNA (ACOM_LNC005131)
Source: RNAcentral
CAAUCUCACUAGGGACUGUGAACACACCCGUCCCGCCUGUCGGAUCGAACCCGUAACCUACUCCAAGAGUAGCUGGUGGAGAAAACUCUCUAGGGACUGUGAAUACACCCAUCCCGUCUAAUUAGGUGACACCGUAGCUCAAGAGUAACCGGCGGAGAAAACUCUCUAAAGACUGUGAAUACACCCGUCUCGUCUACUAGACUACACCGUAUCUCAAGAGUAACCGGCGGAGAAAACUCUCUAAAGACUGUGAAUACACCCGUCUCGCCUAAUUAGACUACACCGUAUCUCGAGGGUAGUCGGUUCCAGAAAGGGUCCAACCGAACGGCUAAGACUCCACUCACGCCACAACCUCACUAAAGGUAGGGAAAAGAGUCACUCACUACCUCACCAGGGCUGCCCAAAACGGACCCACCCUACCUGUAUCUAGCCGUGCCGUACACCACCCCGAGGGUAGCCGGCUCAAGAACUGUCCAACAGAAACUGCGACACUCAUCGCACUGAAACCUCAUUCCUGAAUGGCAUUCGUCGGCGCGACCCAACGAGUUUACAAGUAUCUCUGUCAAGUUCAUACUGCUCUCACAGGCUAAGGUCAAGUAACUGACUCUAACUGGUCUAACAACCAACAUGUUACGUGCCCUCGACACAAUCCGACGCCAAAACGGCGAUAUGGGUCCACCGUCAACCCCGACGGCACCCAACAGUCCGGAACAGCCUGAACGCUACUGAAAAAAAAAUCACUCGGUAUCCCAGCACGAGCGUAAAUGCAUUCUAAACUAUCUGGGGUAUCCGUCACCCCAAUCCUGUGACGAUAUAAAAAUACAACGGCUCCUAGAGCUAAAUCAGGUAGUUUAGGCAUAUGUCGAUCAUUAUCGCGUUUUCUCCUAAGUCAUUUCCAAGUCCCACAUGUAUAAACUAUUUAAUUUACUAUUUCAUGCUCCAAAUUCAGAUUUGCAGUUUACCUAAUAAUCCAUGAAUUCGAGCUAACAUAACUAUACAAAAAUCGGACAUUUACACAUGUUGACUACUACGCACUUAGGAGUAAAACCGAUGUAAACCCACCUCAAAGCUAAUCCCUGGCAACGAAGAAGUCACCUAAAUUCAGCCGAGCCCGCUCUCAACCAGCAAUCGUAACUCUCCAAUAAUCUGAACCACAAAAGCAUUAAACAUGUAUUAAUCUUUCAAAAUCAGCACUUAAGCUAAAUCCUUCUAGUACGAUGCAAACCUCACCUUCCGAAUCUCAAUCCUGGUGAUGCGAGGUUCCAAAUCCAGGGUGGGAUGGUGAUGUACAUAGCUCAGGUCCCAAUCCCAAUUCCCUUCAUGAUUUACACCAAAAGAAUCCAAGAAAACUCAAGUUCAGGUUCAGAUUCACAGCAGUGGAGUAAAACAGAGGUUCGACCCAGCUAACCUUCUUCAAAUCCAGCAAUCUUGGGCUCUGUAGUUUCCUCUUGAAGUCCCGAAUCCAGCGAACCAAGUUUCGCCGCGAUCCGAUGCUCCUACGUCGCGUACGAGCCGAAACACUGACGGUCGACGCUGAAAAUCAGUAAAAUCAGCACGCGAGCUCAAAACCGUGCGUUCAAGUUAUCCCAGGAGGAAAGUUAGAUACCCACCUCGACAGCGAAUCUAGCGCCGGUGCGACGUCGAGGACGGCGAAAACACCCACUCGCCCGGCCUCCUCGCGAUGUAAUGGCAGCAACCAUAUCCCCGGACGGCUCCGCGGCGCGACGUCCGCAACGAAAGCUCCAUCCGAGUUCCACCUAUUCGAUCAAUGCUAGAGAAAGAGAGAAGGAGAAGAGUAGCAAAGUAGCUCUCUCUCUCUCUGCUCCUAAACGUAUAAAGCAAGGGGUGGAAUAGGUGAUACAAACAAGGCAAGAUAAAAUUACUAAAAAACCCCUCACCUACUCAAGUGUACUGGUACACGGGCCUCUGUAUUGGUACACAUGCCAACCCGAGAGCAGUCUGCGCGCAACCUACUGAAGUGUACCGGUACACCUUGAUGGCUGUACCGGUACAGCAAGCAGAAAAACUGCUAUUUUGCAGAUUUCUUCGCGGAAAGCUGCCCUCGCGUGGCACGGAGUCCGUUUUGCCUCUAUUUGGCGCCAACGCGACUCAGACUUGUGCCAACACUCUACAGAGCCGUCGACAAGCCUCCACAGCAGAACACCAAGGAUCUCACAUCCUUACCCACUACAAAAAGUUUCGUCCGCGAAACUUAAGCAUACCUCAACUCAGGUCCACAAACAAAUAAGGAUAGGCCUCCCUCAUCAUCGUCUCAGGCUCCCAAGUCGCCUCCCGCUCUUUGUGAUUGCUCCACUGCACUUUCACAUGCGGGACGACCCUGUUGCGCAAUUCUUUCAUCUCUCGAGCAAGAAUCCGCAACGGUCGCUCCUCGUAUCUCAGAUCCCCGCUAAUCUCUAGUGGAGUGAAGUCGAUUACGUGAGUGGGAUCGAAAAUGUAUCUCCUCAAUGCUGAGACGUGGAAAAUAUCGUGGAUGCCAGCAAGUCACGGGGGUAGAGCUAUCCUGUAUGCAACCGGUACAACUCGCUCUAAUACCUCGAAAGGGCCAACAAACCGUGGACUGAACUUUCCACGUACCCCAAAUCAGCGAAUCCCUCUGGACGGCGAGACUUUGAGGAAAACAUGAACUCGGGUCCAAGUGUCCUCCUCUCACCCACAUCACUCCAAAAUAGAGGGGAUCGACAUCUGCAUUCAUACAACGCUUCAAACAGAGCCAUUAGAAUGCUCGUUUGAUAGUUGUUGUCGUACGCAAACUCAACUAGUCUCAUAUGUCGAUACCACACUCUUCCAAAAUCCAGGACGCAUGCCCUCAGCAUGUCCUCUAGAGUCUGUAUGGUCCCCUCUGACUAACCAUCUGUCUGUGGGUGGAACGCCGUGCUGAAAUGCAACUAAGUGCCCAAGGCUGUCUGUAGACUCCUUCAAAACUGAGAUACAAAUCUCGGGUCUCUGUCUGACACAACCGACACUGGCACACCGUGUAGCCUGACGAUCUCAUCCAGGUAUAGCUGUGCGAGUCUCUCUCUCUCGACCAGGUAGUCUGAACCGGUAGAAAGUGAGUAGAUUUGGUCAGUCUGUCCACUAUAACCCAGAUCGCGUCACAACCACUCUAUGCUCUAGGCAACCCCACGACGAAGUCCAUCGUAAUCUACUCCCACUUCCACUCGGGCACUGGCAGACUCUGAAGCUUGCCAGCAGGUACCUGAUGCUCAGCCUUCACCUGUUGGCAAGUCAGACACUGAGCCACAUAUCUGCCAAUGUCUCUCUUCAUUCCAUGCCACCAGAACCGUGCCUUAAGAUCCUUAUAUAUCUUGGUUCCCCCAGGGUGAACCGUAUAAGGAGAACAAUGAGCUUCUCUCAGAAUGUCCGCUCGGAUCUCAGAAUCCACGGGCACACACAGCCGGUCCCUGUACCGUAGUACUCCCGAACUGUCCAAAGCAAAACCCUCAGCCUGCCCCCUGUCUAGCUGCUCUCUAAUCCUCAACAAGUACGGAUCUCCACUCUGUUUCUCUCGGAUCCUAUCCAAUAGAGUGUGCUAUAAAACUAGAGACGUCAGCCUCGCCGUAGACCCAGGGGGUACUAUUUCGAGUCCCAGCCGCUGUAGCUCCUCGAGUAGGGGUCGCUGCUCAGUGAUUGUCAAACUCAGGCUCUGCACUGACUUCCUGCUCAACGCAUCUGNCGGUCCCUGUACCGUAGUACUCCCGAACUGUCCAAAGCAAAACCCUCAGCCUGCCCCCUGUCUAGCUGCUCUCUAAUCCUCAACAAGUACGGAUCUCCACUCUGUUUCUCUCGGAUCCUAUCCAAUAGAGUGUGCUAUAAAACUAGAGACGUCAGCCUCGCCGUAGACCCAGGGGGUACUAUUUCGAGUCCCAGCCGCUGCAGCUCCUCGAGUAGGGGUCGCUGCUCAGUGAUUGUCAAACUCAGGCUCUGCACUGACUUCCUGCUCAACGCAUCUGCAACAACAUUCGCCCUGCCGGGGUGAUACUGAAUACUAAUGUCAUAGUCCUUCAGUAACUCCAACCACCGGCGCUGCCUCAGGUUCAGCUCCCUUUGUGUGAACAGAUACUUGAGACUUUUAUGAUCGGUGAAAACCUCGCAGUGCUCGCCGUACAAGUAAUGCCGCCAGAGCUUCAAAGCAAAAACCACCGCGGCCGGCUCCAAGUCAUGCGUAGGGUAAUUCUUCUCAUAAUCCUUUAACUGCCGUGAAGCAUAAGCAAUUACCCUACCAUGCUGCAUUAGCACACAGCCAAGUCCACUGUGUGAUGCAUCACUAUAGAUCACGAAUCUAUACCCCAUCACCAGAAGGGCAAGGAUAGGAGCCGACGUCAACCUCAGUCUCAACUCGUCAAAGCUCCUCUGACAGUCGUCGCUCUAGACAACACGAAUCCCCUUCCGCGUCAAGCGAGUGAGGGGUGUGGAAUGCUUCGCAAAGCCUUCCACAAACCAACGGUAAUAUCCUGCCAGUCCCAGGAAACUCCGCACCUCCGUCACCGUCGUCGGUCUAGGCCAAUCUCGAAUCGCCUCAAUCUUCUUCGGGUCCACUGCUACUUCCUCAGCUGAAAUCACGUGGCCCAAGAAAGCAACCUUCCGUAACCAGAACUCGCACUUCUUUAAUUUGGCAUACAACUCCUUCUCUCGCAGAAGCUGUAGCACAAUCCUCAAGUGCUCCUCAUGCUCAGCAUCACUCCGGGAGUAAAUCAGAAUGUCGUCGAUGAAGACUACCACAAACCUAUCCAAGAACGGCUUGAACACUCUACUCAUCAAAUCCAUGAAUGCGACAGGGGCAUUCGUCAAUCCAAAAGGCAUCACUGUAAACCCAUAAUGCCUGUACCGAGUCCGAAAAGCCGUCUUAGGAACAUUCUCGGCCCUCACUGUCACGCCCCGGAUUACACUUUCUCCGGGCGCGCCGACAAAUCCGCCCUAUACAAAGGAAUUUCCCCUGUAUACGAAGCGAUAGCUGUACCUGUAAAACAAACACUACUACGAACAGUAGUAGAGAGCUGCUAGAGAAAACAGAAGCUAACAAACUGAGUUUCAUAUACAUAGUCCAGAUCCAAAAUACAAAGCUACUCGCACUGGCGAGUUAAGUCCACUAUGUACAUAAACUCGAAACAAAACAUCUACCUGCAGUAGGGGCACCUCUAGCUCAGCACGUCGGGUAGGGCUCUAACUUGCGACGCCCUUGCCUCGAUCCUGAUCCGCGGAAGGCGCAGCAGCCGAAACCUGUGGCUCUGCAAAACAGGGGGUAACAACUGGGCGUGAGAACUACUGUAAAAACAAGUAGUCCUCAGUGGGUACUGCCCAAAAUAAUAUCGGUCCACCCACUAAGCCUACAGAAGGGAACAGGAAUAGUAGUAAAAUGCAGGAAUAAAGUCUACCGCUAUCAAACACUACACUAUCAUGCUCUACACUAACCAACUGUAGAAAAUAUCCAACCUGACCCAAUCCAAUCGGGACUGUAAGCAUACCCGUCCCCGGGACUGUGAAUACACCCGUCCCUGCCCCGUUGCGACUAUCAAGCUCUAUCCACACUAACUGGUCCGUGGAGAGCAAGUCCAACUGGCAUGAGCGACACCAACGCGAAAGCACAAAGCCCAACUCCGGAGUGGCACUCGUGGGCGCUACCCAACCGAGUAUGCAGCGUAUCUCUGUCGAACUCAAUCAGGCUACAACUAGCCAAACUCAAGUGAACAGGGUCAAAACAGGUCUACAAACCAAACCCACGUGCCCUCGGCACAAUCUGUGACCAAAACAAGAAUCUGGGUCCACCGUUAUCCCGAACGGCACCCAACGACCCGAAACAGCCUAUACUCUGCUGAAAAAUAAGCUCGGCACCCCAGCACGAGCGUAAAUGCCUUCUAAACUACCCCAGAUAUCCAUCGCACUAAUACUGCAACGAUACAAUCGAAUCACGGCUACUAGAGCUAAAUCUGGUAGUUUAAGCAUAUGACGGGUCAAAAUGCAGGUUUUCUCCUAAGUCAAAUUUCAAGUCCAACAUGUAUAAUUUAAAUAUUCAUUUCAGCAUGCUUCUACAUUCAUAUUACAUUCAAGAUGCUAAUCGAUGAAUUAAAGCAUGAUAUACAAAAAUCGAACUAUACACGUCGACUAAACAUGCACUUAGGAGCGAAACCGAUGAUACACCCAUCUCGAGAGCAAAUUCCUGGCAGCACGGAACUCCCUCGGCUGCGGCACAACCUGCUGGAUCGACUGGAAAUGUCCGAGUCUCAAAAUUAAGCUAUCUCCAAGCUAUCAACAUCAAAAUCCACAAUUCAGUCCAAAUACACAGCAGCAGAGAAGAGAAGGGUUUCGACCAAGCUAACCUUCACCAAAAUCCACAAGUAAGGACUUCGUGGAUUUCUCUCGCAGUCCCGAAACCAACGAAUCAAGUCUUGUCGAAAUCCGAUGAUCCUACGUCGAGUACGAGCUGAAAUACUAACAGUCGACGAUGAAGUUCAGCAAAACAACACUUAAGCUUAAAUAUCCCAAUUCCAAUGUCAAAACUCACCUAAUGAACUCCAAAUCAGGUGAAGAGGGUCCCAAUUCCAGUACUGGGUGAUAGGGAAGGUGACUCAACUCCACAAAGCCCCUGCUUCCAAAGUUCACCCCAAAAAGAACACAAAAACUUACAAUUCUGUCCACAGCAACAACAGCAGAGGAAAACCUGAGUUCGACUAAGCUAACCUCAACUAAAAUCUGCAAUUUAGGGCUUCGUGGAUUCCUCUGGAAGUCAAGAAUCCAGAAAACCAAGUUUCGUCAAAAUCCGACCUUCCUACGUCGCGCACGAGCCAAAACACUGGAGGUCGUCGCUGAAGAACUGCAGAAUCAGCACUCCAUUAAGCUGGAUCAUGGAAGUUUGAUGCAAUUUGAGGCAAAUCCGAGGGUAGAGAUGCUAAAAGAGGCUUCUCUGUGAAGAAGGGAGGAAAAGAGCUCCCCAGGGACACUUCUCAGCUAUUUAUAGGGUGAAAAUAGGAUCAGAUGGACCUCAAGAACAAAGCUUGCAAUCUGCUGUCCCCGCAGAAACAGGCGUUUCUGGGCGCCCGGAACCAUGUUCUGGGCGACCAGAACAUCCCGACUGCACAAACCGGGCUCCUCGGACUCUCCGCUCGCGGUGUGCUGCGCCCGUAAAUGGCUCCGGCGGAACUCACCUACCGCCCUGCCACGCGUCGAAGCAAGCGAUAUUCACGAUGUCGAAUUUCCGGACCCACAUCUGGGCGCCCGGAACAUGGGAUCCGAAUUGGCUUCCAGUUUUAGUUAAAUUCAACACUCGUUUCUGGGCGACCCUAACAAUGUUCUGGGCGCCCGAAUCUGGCAAAACUCCAGUUUUGCUUAUUUGAGUGCGCCGAGUCCAAUUCUGCAUCCAAUUCGUGCAGAAUUGCCUCCGACUCAGUCCGACACUCUCCAGAGAUGUCGACCAGUCUAUAAUACUGAAGCCAAUCCUAUCCAAAGCUCAGGAACACUACACUCACCUUUAGCUGGUGGUAACCUGACUGGAGAUUAAUCUUUGAAAAGACACAAGAUCCUUGCAGCUGAUCAAACAGAUCAUCAAUGCGCGGCAAGGGAUACUUAUUCUUGAUGGUCACUUUAUUCAGCUCCCUAUAAUCCACACACAGUCUAAGUGACCCAUCCUUCUUCUUCACAAACAACACUGGCGCUCCCCAAGGCGACACACUGGAUCUCACAAACCCUCUACCCAUCAAAUCUUGAAGCUGUGCCUUUAGCUCUCUCAGCUCUGCCGGCGCCAUCCGAUAAGGUACCUUCGAGAUUGGUGCAGUUUCAGGAACUACAUCAAUCACAAACUCAAUCUCCCUCUCCGGCGGCAACGACAUCAACUCAGGGGGGAAAUACAUCCGGAAACUCGCAGACUACAGGGAUAUCCUCGAGUUCCGGCGCCGCCGUAGGUACCUCCACAACUGUCGUUAGGAAAGCGAUACACCCACUACUCAGCAUCUGUCGAGCCCUCGCUGAAGAUAUCCAUGUAGCAACCAACGUGCUCCUGCAGCCUCUAAAGUGAACUCCUCCCGGCCUGGCUUGCGGAACGUCAUCGUCCUCACUUCACAGUCGAUAGUAGCCUAGUACCGCGUCCGUCAAUCCAUACCGAGUACGACGUCGAAGUCCUGCAGCUGCCCUAACACCAACAGGUCUACGGCAAAAUCCAAGAAUCUAGCUACACCGGACAAGACCAACCACACUCCGCAACCUAUAACACAUAGUCGGGGAUCUGCACCUCUCGUGCCAAAAAUAAUGACCCUAACUCUAGACCAUGCAACAAUGCAAAUGCUCGGCUCACAAAAGAAUGGGAGGCAUCAGUAUCAACUAAAGUAUAAGUACAUAUGCCGAAAAUUAAAAUAAUACCUGCCACCAUACGGUCGGCUGCUGAAGAGUCCUCCUGGCGGUAGCUCGGUGGUGCUCCAAAAGCCUGCUGGUCAGCUGGCUGCGCUGAUGCCAUGGAUAGUGCUGGUAAUGUCGCUCUAGGACACGCUGACCUCACAUGUCCUAGCUGUCCACAAGUGUAGCAGCGGCCCUCUUUCUGCUCACACUGUCUGGGCCAGUGUGGUCCCCCACAAAUCACGCACCACAGUGUCCUCGGUGACGGUCCUUGCUGAAGCGAUCUCCUGGAAUGCUGACGCCCUGAUGAACCACGACCCUGAGAGCCAGAUCGAGAAAACCUCAGCAGACGUCUGCUACUUGUCUGUCCUCCAUCAUUUGGAAAAGGGCGCUUCCUAUCCUGGCUUUGCCCUGGUGCCGUAAUCCGCUCCUGGACGGUGUAACUCCGUGUCCCACCCAGAGUGCCUGCUGCACAGAUGCUCCUGUCUCAACGCCCGACCGCUGAGUGAUAAUCUCAUAAAUCCUCUACAACAAUACACUCUGCUGCUUGAUCACCUCUGUCAGGGCAGCCAAUUGCUCUCUCAAAUCAGGGGGUGCACUCGCCUCCGGUCGUGCACUCGGCUCUGCUUGGUUAGGCAUCUCUAGUGUUGCGACUCGAUCCCUGGUCGACGGUCAACCUCGGCAGCGAUCUGAAAGAAAAAGAACGGGGUCAGAUACCACUCAAACACUCUCGACCCAAUCAACGAAAGUCUGGAAAGCAGCCCAUAUUUUCCUCUAAAAUUAUGUUGUCUGUAGCCAACAUAAUUUCUCAGGCCAAAACAGGUACUCUUUCAAUCACUCACUCCACUCUCGGAGGAGUUAAAACAACUAAUCAUUGACUUUCGCAAUUAAAUUACGCCUCUCGCGUCUUACUUUCCUAAGGUUUGCCAAACUUAGGUUUUCUAGGUCCCAACGACCUAAUGCUAAUCUCUAAUACCAACUUAAUCUGUCACGCCCCGGAUGUCUCGUUUUCCGGGAACGCCGACAAAUCCGCCGUAUACAAAAAUUUUUUUUCUGUAUACGAAGCGACAGCUGUACCUGUAAAUAUACAAUACUACAAACAGUAGUAUAGAGCUGCUCAAGGAAACAGAACCAAAACAAACUGAGUUUCAUAUACAUAGCUCAAAAACCAAAAUGCUGAGUUACUCGCACUAGCGAGUUAAGUAUACUAUGUACAUAAACUUAAAAUAAAACAACUACCUGCAGUAGGGUGCCUCUAGCUCUGUUCGUCGGGUAGGGCUCUAACUCGCGACGCCCUUGCCUCGAUCCUGAUCUGCGGAAGGCGCAGCAGCCGAAACCUGUGGCUCUGCAAAACAGGGGUAACAACUGGGCGUGAGAACUACUGUAAAAACAAGUAGUCCUCAGUGGGUGCCGCCCAAAACAAUAUCGGUCCACCCACUAAGUCUACAGUAGGGAGCAAAGGUAAUAGGAAAAGCUGGAAAGAAAUCUACAGCUACAUAUCGCUACACUAGCAUGAUCUACACUAACCAACUGUAGUAAAAGUCACAACUGCCCCAAUCUCACUAGGGACUGUGAACACACCCGUCCCGCCUGUCGGAUCGAAUCCGUAACCUACUCCAAGAGUAGCUGGUGGAGAAAACUCUCUAGGGACUGUGAAUACACCCAUCCCGUCUAAUUAGGCGACACCGUAGCUCAAGAGUAACCGGCGGAGAAAACUCUCUAAAGACUGUGAAUACACCCGUCUCGUCUACUAGACUACACUGUAUCUCAAGAGUAACCGGCGGAGAAAACUCUCUAAAGACUGUGAAUACACCCG